This 252-nucleotide ribosomal RNA is filed under the name uncultured bacterium. Its description in RNAcentral is "partial 16S ribosomal RNA". It matches the Rfam family "Bacterial small subunit ribosomal RNA", at positions 9 to 249 of the family's 1533-position model. The record is from RNAcentral.
GAGUUUUGAUCAUGGCUCAGGAUGAACGCUAGCUACAGGCUUAACACAUGCAAGUCGAGGGGCAUCAGUUUGGUUUGCUUGCAAACCAAAGCUGGCGACCGGCGCACGGGUGAGUAACACGUAUCCAACCCUGCCUCAUACUCGGGGGAUAGCCUUUCGAAAGAAAGAUUAAUAUCCGAUAGCAUAUAUUUCCCGCAUGGUUUUAUAUUAAAGAAAUUCGGUAUGAGAUGGGGAUGCGUUCCAUUAGUUUUG